RNAcentral lists this transfer RNA (76 nucleotides) under Escherichia coli. RNAcentral describes it as "tRNA-Asn". It matches the Rfam family "tRNA". Rfam says of the family: Transfer RNA (tRNA) molecules are approximately 80 nucleotides in length. Their secondary structure includes four short double-helical elements and three loops (D, anti-codon, and T loops). The record is from RNAcentral. Lineage: Bacteria; Pseudomonadati; Pseudomonadota; Gammaproteobacteria; Enterobacterales; Enterobacteriaceae. RNAcentral also lists the same sequence under 2 other names.
UCCUCUGUAGUUCAGUCUGUAGAACGGCGGACUGUUAAUCCGUAUGUCACUGGUUCGAGUCCAGUCAGAGGAGCCA